AUCAGUGGCGCCAAGUCCAACAUCUGGCUCAAACCUUUUGGAACAAAUGGAAGAAGCAAUAUCUUUCGUCACUCCAGCCACGAAGGAAGUGGCAGUCUUCCCAGCCUGACCUUCAGCGUGGAAGCAUCGUGCUUCUCAAGGACGACCAACUAAAGAGGAAUGAAUGGCCUCUGGGACUUAUCACUCAAGUCUUCCCUAGCAAAGACAGCAGGGUACGCAAGGUGGAGAUCAAAGUCUCCAGGAAAGAUGGAAUUAAGACGUUAUUGAGGCCUAUCACCGAGAUAGUCCUGCUCUUAGCUCCUGAGACUAAGCCAUAGUGAAUGCCAAGGACUGUUAAGUAGUGGCGGUUUAUUCCCGCCAGGCGGGGAGUGUGCUGUCACCAUAGUUUUUGUUCAGUAGUUCUCGGGGUAAGUUUCAUAGUGCCACCACUAGGGGGCAGUGGUCUCUUUAAGAGACACAGUGGUCGGCUACAGGCAGCCAUGUGAGAGAUCUGCGGGAGGCACAUUACUGAGAGAACAUGCUGUCUGUUUACACCAGGAAAUAACUGUCUACAUCUAAUGCUAUACGAAGCAUCGUUGUUUCACCCUUUUUCGACUCAAUAAACCUGUGGAUAAAUUCA
This is a long non-coding RNA of Mugil cephalus (flathead mullet), 619 nucleotides long. RefSeq lists it as uncharacterized. Lineage: Eukaryota; Metazoa; Chordata; Actinopteri; Mugiliformes; Mugilidae. The record is from RefSeq and is a predicted model, not a curated record. The transcript is spliced from 2 exons.